UACAGAGGGGGCAAGCGUUAUUCGGAAUUAUUGGGCGUAAAGGGCGCGUAGGCGGCCUGGCAAGUCGGGCAUGAAAUCUCUCGGCUCAACCGAGAGAGGCUGUCCGAUACUGCUGGGCUUGAGGACGGUAGAGGGUGGUGGAAUUCCGCGUGUAGUGGUGAAAUGCGUAGAUAUGCGGAGGAACACCAGUGGCGAAGGCGGCCACCUGGACCGUCCCUGACGCUCAAACACGAAAGCUAGGGUAGCGAACGGG
This 253-nucleotide ribosomal RNA is filed under the name uncultured bacterium. RNAcentral's name for it is "partial 16S ribosomal RNA". It matches the Rfam family "Bacterial small subunit ribosomal RNA", at positions 524 to 776 of the family's 1533-position model. The record is from RNAcentral.